Molecule: long non-coding RNA, 1938 nt
Organism: Chelmon rostratus (copperband butterflyfish)
Lineage: Eukaryota; Metazoa; Chordata; Actinopteri; Chaetodontiformes; Chaetodontidae
Exons: 6
Source: RefSeq, a predicted model, not a curated record
UUAUUAAACAAGGCAGUUGAGUAGUUAACAUCCAAGCAUGCUUAUGCCAUGUUUAGACAUGAUGAAAAAGGCCCAGAUGAUGCUGUCUUUGUAUCAGCAGUUAAUAAUAUGUGCUCUUAGAUCUAUGGAGAAGACUUCAGUAAACAAAUGAAGAAACUGAUGCCAAAUGCAGACCUUUCAUGACUGCAGUGCUUCUGCAUUAGUGAAAUAUGUAUGCAAAACAUUGAAGAGCAAGUUUUCCAAAUGUAACUGUCCUUAACUACAGAGGGGGAUACAUAUUAGGUAUAUUAUGGUAAGGGUCAGAUAGUGUAUAAAUCCCUCAAUGCAAUAGAUGUUGGGGUUUGCUUUAGUUUGUCACCUGUUUUUGAUUCUAGUACCUUGAACCACAUCAGUUUGACAAGACUGUUAUUUAUUAACACAUAGCAGCAGCAAAGCAGCUCAGAUCAGGAAACGGGCAUGCUCUGGAAGAGACUCGCCGUCAAAGAAGACAAGGCAACGGCAAGGCAAGCCCAGGGGGAGGUGUGGUGGUCGACGCAGAGCCUCAGCUACAGUGUCACAGCCUCCAACUGAGUGCUCCCUGUCAUCCAGCGUGGAACAUCUGCCUAGUUUACCCUCAGCAAGUCCUUUGAUGACAUUUGAAAAAUAUGGAGAGGCUCUCUGCUAUUUUAGCAUCAUGCCAUUCUGGUGAGCCUCAAAAAUGUUCAGCAACAUCCUGGUCUUGUCAUCAGCAGAAAGCCUCAGAGACCACACAACCUCCAAUGCCUCAUAGAGAAAGAGGCUGUUGGUCAUCCUCUGUGCUGCCUCUGCAAUGAGCCUGCUGUCAUUCGCUCUGAUGACCCUGCCUUUUUUGAGGGCCUCUUUGUGGCAAAAGACAGUGAAGUCUCCACAUUUACCGAGACCAUCCAAAAAAUGCAAGUAUUAUUGAUAAUGUGACAAAAUAGCUGUAUUACUGAAAUAUUACCGAAACUGAAUUGAGAGAAACACUGGCCUAUAUAGCAGACCCAAUUGCAUUCAUUUUACUGUGUUCAGCAAACAUCACGAUAAAGAAGAGACUGUACGACCAGGUGAUGCUAACAAUGCGACUGCAAGAGGAGAAGAACAUUUUGGUGCUGGAGAUGGCACAACAUUGCACAUGGUUGCAGAAGCAGGCAGAGGAGCUUGAGAACAAGGUGGCUGAGAAUGAACAGGGCAACAAAGGACUUUGCUGUCUCUUAGGUCCUGAGGCUUCUGCCCAUCUUCAUGUUGAGGACGAGGAUCAAAGUGCCCUCAGCAGUCCAGACACUAGUGACGACGAAGAGGAUAUCACAAUUUAGAUUGAUGCUGCAGGACAGACUGUGGUGAAGGACAUGGACUUGGAUCUGCCUGCCUCCCACUCUACACCUGCCCUGCUGCUGCAAUCAAGCCACCUGGUUUCCGCCAGCUCAUUACCAAAUCUGCACUUAUGGUGCAUUCCAGACAACCUAUCUCGUUUUCUAUUUCAUAUGUGGUCAACAUGCACCGUAUCCAUGGGUUUCGUAUGACGUCACACAGUGGUCAUGGCGCCAUCUUUCGGACCAAACGUCAACCUGUCAUCUAUAUUCUGUAUAUAUGUUUCAUCAAUAUACAGUCUCAUCUUCAUGUACUGUAAUCCAGGGGUGUGUUGACACCAAUAUUAAAUAAUAGGUUCACUAGAUCACAACAUGUUGUUUCAAAUAUUAUGUUGACAUUACUGAUGAAACUUAGUCAGCUAAACUAAGUUUAAUUGUCAAUUUUUCUGACAUGACUAGUUGCAGUCAGACUCAAACCCCACUUCUUUCCAGGAAAAGGGAGAUAACAGCAGCAAAUCUACUCUUUAUUUUGAGAGUAGUAAUGGGAGAGAGUACUUCCUGUGAUUUCUUGUAAAGUGAAAGCCUUUCACUUCUGGUUACUUCUGCUUUUGGUCACUGUCUUCAAUAAAAC